GGAUCAAUAUGCUGGUCGUGCCUUUGGUACGUACUGGUAUUGUUGGUUUCUCCUUUCUGAUGAAUUAUGAUGUCAUUAAUUUGGUGUCAUGGGGAAUCAGGACUGUUACUUUGAAAAAAUUAGAGUGUUUAAAGCAGGCUUACGCUUGAAUACAUUGGCAUGGAAUAAUGAAAUAGGACGUUUGAUUCUAUUUUGUUGGUUUCUAGGAUCGACGUA
This 216-nucleotide ribosomal RNA is filed under the name Campeiostachys nutans. Its description in RNAcentral is "Elymus nutans partial small subunit ribosomal RNA". The stretch from base 47 to 216 matches the Rfam family "Eukaryotic small subunit ribosomal RNA", at positions 693 to 864 of the family's 1831-position model. Lineage: Eukaryota; Viridiplantae; Streptophyta; Magnoliopsida; Poales; Poaceae. The record is from RNAcentral.